GGAACAACUCCCACCUGGCCUCCUACUCAGCUGACAGGAAUCUGGUUGGAGUUGUUGUGUCCCAGCCUUCCCAAGCUUCCAGGUGUCCCAGAAACCCAGGAAAUCGAGACUCAUGACUCCCAGAGAGGAUGGCGUCUAGAAGCUGGAAGGUAGAAGAGAAAUACGGCCUGUUUUUGAAGGAAAAUGAGGGACACAGAGACCUCUAGAGGCAUAGGAGGAACACCACCCAGACUCUCAGAGGAGACCCAGGACUCCAAGAAGGCAAAAAGUCUGCACCUAGUCCCCACAGUUUACUGAGCCAUCUGUCCAGGAUCCAGAGACAGCAGGGAGCCUGCUCCAACCUCUGAGGGUGCCCCAGUGUCUCCCUCACCCAGGGAAUCAUCUGAGCACUGAGGGAAGUGGCCGCAGGAAGGGGCUGAGAUAAGGGCCUUGAGAGGCAGUGGGAGUGUUGGGGACGGUGAUCUAGGAGGGCGUGGUGAGCUCUGUAACGGAGGGUGGGGUGGAAUUGGGAGCGAGAGCCCAGUGGCAUACUGGGUGGGUUGACUGGAUGUCGAAGAGAGGUCAGUGAAAAGUGGCCACUGUUUCCAGAUGAUGGUUUGACUUUGCUUUAUUUGGUAAAGUGGAAGAGGAAGGUAUAACUUCUCCAGGCGUCAGAGGUGCUCUGAGAGCAUUUCAGGGGUUUCCCAGUUGAGAAGCUGAUGGGGGUGUUACUGAAUGGGCCAUUUCAAAGACACAGUGGAGGGAAUUGUAAGGGGUAGUGAUCUGGCUGAGGGGCACUGCAGUGGAAUGGGAAUUUAAACAGUAAGAGAGAAUCAAGAGAGGAGCUUUGAAUCUACCAUUUUGGGAAGAGGAAGGAGGAAAGGGUGAUAAAAGAGAGUCUGCAACCUUGGGGUAGUGCAGAAAGCAGAACCACUCUUUUGGGAAGGAGGGAAACUGAGCUAACCCUAUGCCUGGGCACUGGACUUCUCCCAUAUGGGAUGUAGUAUAUGUGCUUGUUUGUGCCCAAGGCAUGCACACACACAAAAGUUGACUUAUGGACUGUCGAGUAACUCUCCUUGGGGUAGGAAAACUUCAGGGUCAGCUAGCUGGGGCCCCAGAGGCUUCACUUGGGCUAGGAUAUCCCGGAUAGAGCGGCAGGGGAUCUUUCCAGCACUGCUGGAGCCACAGGGCUUGGCACCAGCGGCGGGAUCAGGAUGGGGAGAGCCAUCAGGGCCCCCAGUCAGUGUCAAGGAGGAGACAGACAUGCAAGGGUGACCAGAAGAGCUGGACUUGCUGCCACAAGGCUGAAGGAUGAUUUUGCCACUGGAUUGGGAACUGGAGCUGCUGCUGAAGGAGCCGGUGCCUGGUGGGGAGCAGGGGCUCUGGGAAGAACUGCCGCAGGGAUGGUAGGGUGAACCGGAGCUGCUGGAAAUGCUAGAACUGCUGGGGACUCGAGAACUGGAGGGAGAGCAGGGUCCCUUGGAGCCUGUGGAGCCGCCUCCACAGAGCCGGACCCCACCAGUCCCCACUGGCUGGAACGCAAUGGCCGAGGAAGCUCCCGACUGGCUGGGGAUGAUGGGGUUGCUGGAGAAGUAUUUGCCCUCAGAGAUGGGGGGCCCAGCUGCAAAGGAAGGGACCCCUGGAGAGCCUUUCACAGGGUUCUCUUUGGUGAAGUAGCCCACAGGGUAGAUUUUACCCUUACUGUAGGUCAUGCCUGGAACCAGAUAACUGUCAGAGGAGCCACCCACCACCUCGUAGCCACCAUAGGAUUUGUCUACAGAGGUGAUUGGGGGACAGGGCUUGCCUGGAAGGCCACCAUUGCUACAGGGGGGACCUUGAACCACUCCAGGGGCACCAGAACCGUGCUGCUCCACCACCACCACCACAGGCCUCUGACCCCCUGACACAGAGUGGGAGCUGGGGAUGUAGGGGCCGGAGUGCGAGACGAUGGGCCCUCCACUGCAGGGAGAGUCGGGGAUGUCCGAACUACAGGGACGCUGGUUGGAGCUGACGCUUUGGCCACUGCUGGACACCCCAAAGGUCUGGGAAGAGGAAGAGGUUUGUCCAGGCUGGGGAGGGUUUAGUAUUCCACGGUAAGAGUUGUCAUUGGUUGGCAGAGCAGAGCCAUUCCCUACUUUGAAGCUGCUGCUGCUGAACUGAAAGCUGCUGCUGCUGCUCGAAUGAGAGCCGCUGCUUCCCGAGUGAGAGACGCUGCUGCCCACCUGGGAGGAACCGGAUGCACCUUGUAGACUAGAGCCAGAUCCUGAGGAGUAGCUGACCUGGGAAUACCCCGUUCCUGGUUUAAAAGAUCCUGCAGAACCACCCUGGGCAAUGCUGGAUCCACUGGAGCUGCCACUGGAGCCACCACCAGAGCUUCUGGCACUGGAAAUGGAGCUGCCAGAACUGCUGGAGCCACUGUAGCUACUGAAGCCGCUGGAGUCACCCUUCCCAGUGAGGCAGGGGUCGUUAGGGGAGGUGAUACGUGUGGGGUCCUUACAGGGGUCUGAGAAGGUGCCAAUGCUCUUAGCCAAGGUCCCUGUGGAGGAAAGCAGUGGUUAGUAAGGGCCAAGGAGGCUUGGCUUCCUCCCUCACCUUUCUGCCUUAUCUCAGUCAUUGGCCUCUCGGGUUUAGGGAGAGUUUAGGGAUGAAGAAAGGAGGAAGAACUGGCUAUUGUCUCUAAAGGAUAUUGAGGUGGCCGAAUAAAGGCAGUUUCAUUGUUUGGGAAGGGUGGGCAAACACCAACCAGAAAAAUAGAAAAUUAGGUGCCAAAGUGAGGGGCCUCAAAGGAAUACAUUGAAUAUGAGAAGGGGCUGGACACAGUGGCUCACGCCGGUAAUCCCAGCACUUUGGGAGGCCGAGGUGGGAGGAUUGCAUGAGCCCCAGAGUUCAAGACCAGCCUGGGCAACAUAGACCCCGUCUGUAUUUUGUUUUUUAAUUAAAAAAAUUUUAAAAAAGAAGAGGGAAUGGAGAAGUGGCAGGAACAAGUAGGUCUAAAAGAAAGGACCCUGAAGAGACAGAGAAUUGGGGAAACUGAGGCUCUGAGAAGUCCAGGCAUAAAUUCUUAGGGGAAAAAUCCUGGGCCAGACAGUAGGACCAAAGGGAAGGAGAAGACAAAAGGCAAAACAAUGGAGGGCUGAGAAGCAGAGAAAAAUAUAGAAGGAGACACUGGAAAAAGAUAAAGCUGGGGGCAGAGGGCCUGAAAUAAAGGAAAGGGCACUCGAGGACUAAGAUUUGGUCACCAGCUUCUUCGUGAGAGCCCAGGCUGGGGUCAGGAAUGGAAACCCUAUUUCCCAUCUCAGCACUGGCCAUGCCAGUAAAGCUGGGUGGGGGCCAGGAUGUGGGGUCACUACCUGUUGCUUCAGAAACUGCUGGUACCAGUGUGUCAGGACACCGCACCCUGAGCCAGUCCUGCUCUCGCUGGCCCAGCCCAGGGAACCAGGAUGAAACCCCACGAGCCUCCGAGGCUCCUGGCCACAAUCAACUUCCCUCUCUGAGCACACCUGCCUCCAUCCAGCCCCUCAUCUGACUUCUGCUGCCUUGACUUCCCUCAGGGAUGUGGAGCCACAUCUUUCCUUAUCUUUCCUUUCCUUUGCUCAAAACCCCAGGCCCAACUUACCCCAUGGUUCUUCCAUGACUCUUUCACCUGCAUUCCUUCUGCCUUCCCUAGCCCCUCCAGGUCCCAUGUCUCACAAACGGAGCCACAUAGUAGCAAGUUACUGAACCUCACUGAGCUUUAGUUUAUACAUUCAGAGGGGCCAAAUUUGCCCUGCCUUCCCACAGCAUUACUAUGAAGAAAACUAAAUGAGAUCAUCCAC
RNAcentral lists this small RNA (3794 nucleotides) under Pongo abelii (Sumatran orangutan). Its description in RNAcentral is "processed transcript". Lineage: Eukaryota; Metazoa; Chordata; Mammalia; Primates; Hominidae. The record is from RNAcentral.